Molecule: long non-coding RNA, 1327 nt
Organism: Formica exsecta
Lineage: Eukaryota; Metazoa; Arthropoda; Insecta; Hymenoptera; Formicidae
Exons: 3
Source: RefSeq, a predicted model, not a curated record
GUCGCUGGCAAAGCAGGCAUCUCGACAGCAGCCGCGAGAGCAGCGGGAGAGGGGAAGGGAGGGGGGGUAAAAAAAUAAAAAAAGAGCCGGAAGCGAGAAGAGAGAGAGAGAGAGAGAGAGAAAGAUAGACGAGAUAGAAACGAGAUAGACAUAGAGAAGAGAUGUAAAAAGAGAGAAAGAGAAGUCGCGACGCGCGAAGAAAAUCCACUACACGUGUUCGCCAUUCGCCUUUUCGUGAAGACGGAAGAAAGAAGCAACAAAAAUGCAGAGAUUCAACAAAGAGAAAAUACCGCGAAUCGAGCCAAUGGAGAUAAAAUGGUCGAACGUAACGAAAGAAAGUGAUCGGAUGCAUCGCGUGUGAUAGCAUAUCGUUGCGUGUUUCGUGCGGUUCCGGUCACAUGGAUCACGUGGUAAUCGCUGCCCCUUCCUCUCCUGACCGCCAGGGGUUCCUCCGACAGGCGGUGGGGAUGUCAACCAUGAUUGGGAGAGAUGUAGAAAAGAGGAAGUGGUAGACGAUUCCUAGGAGAUGAAAGCGGACAGUGAAGGUGAGGAGGAGAAGGAGGAGGAAGAGAACAUUAUUUCACUACCGAUGAUAAUCAUGUGAGGAAAAAUAUGUGAAGCGUACCCGACUUCACCGUGUUUUCUUCUCCUGCAGGAGAGAUAGCAGCCAUGAAACGGAGGAAAGCCGGAAAGACGAUAAUCAAGAGGGAACUGCAAAUAUUCUUAACUUCAGAAGAAUAUUCUUAACUUCGAGAAACGAAUUUAUUCUUCGCGCAACUUCUGUUCCAUGAUAGAGUUUAGCGAAAUAUCUCGCGCUCGAGCAAGAAAUAAAUGUUUCAACUCACUGAGAGCUCUUAUCUUCCAACAAAAAACCCAUGAUCCUUAAGCGAUAACCACGACGGACUCGCUAAUCCGCCAAUCAAAUUAAUUGGACUGCGUACUUCCGCGCGUUGAUGAAAAAUACCGCCAAAAACAAGUCAGCUUCGGAACAUUAAUCAAGAAGAGGAUAAAAAGGUAAUAUUAACGCCAGUCGGCAACGGUGGCCGACAUCAAAGAACCUCCCCUUCCUUCCUUAUUUCUACAGCGGCGUAUUUAGAAAAUUUUUAGACUUGAAUAAAUUCCAUUUUAUUCUUGCUAAUUUCAAAAACUUUUCAGAUUUCUGUAUUAUUUCUUACGUAUUAUUAGCAUCUAGUAAAAAUAUUAGUAUAUUAUAUACAAAAUAUUAGAGUAUAAAUAUUAAUAUAAUAUAUUUUGCAGAUAAUGUGUAACACGAAAUUUCAGCUUUUAAAAUUUUUCAAAAUAAAUAUGUUUUAUUACAACUCUAUAU